UGCAGAUCCUGGUGAACAGCAUCACCUAAACUAGCCACUCCCUGACCUACAACUUGCUUGCCUUGCUCCUAAAGACAAGAAGCUAAUCACUGGUUCAAGUUUUAUUGCUGUGAAACUGGUGUCUUCCAGCCUCAAGAUCUGGAUCACAGGUGUGCUGUUAAGUCUGAAAACUUAUCUGAACAGAGUGCAUGUGAGAACUAGUGGGCCUUGUGAACCUCUGGAGAAAGGAGACCAGAUGCAGAAACACACCAAAACCUCAGGUGGGAAUGAGCAAAUCAGACAAAGAGGGAUUGCCCCUGAACCUGCCAUGAAACAAUAGGCUUGCUGAAACUCCAGAGCCGAAGAAUGAUGCAGUGGGCACUUUGUUCUGCUUUGUAAAGCCAGGCUUGAAAAUUGACCUGAGGUGCUUAUCCUGUACUAUCAGGGCCCCAAAGAUGGGAGCUGCUUCCCACUGGACCAUGGAAAGAAGUUUUAAACCUACAGUGCCUGCCCCCUGGGUACCGAUUCCACUCUAUGCUACCUCUAACAGCUGGAGCUUGGACUCUUUGUAGAGCCUUUUCCAGUUUGAAUGAAACAUUUCUAUUGCAAAAAAAAAGUUAAUAGUAUGAUAACUCA
This is a long non-coding RNA of Mastomys coucha (southern multimammate mouse), 615 nucleotides long. RefSeq lists it as uncharacterized. NCBI's taxonomy places the organism in Eukaryota, Metazoa, Chordata, Mammalia, Rodentia, Muridae. The transcript is spliced from 3 exons. The record is from RefSeq and is a predicted model, not a curated record.